This is a non-coding RNA of Camellia sinensis, 1116 nucleotides long. The record is from RefSeq and is a predicted model, not a curated record. Lineage: Eukaryota; Viridiplantae; Streptophyta; Magnoliopsida; Ericales; Theaceae.
UUAAGAUUCCUUAGCACGUUGCCUUUGGUAAAUGUUGCUGUAAAUGUGCCACGAAAGCUAUUGAUCCCUAAAUUCAGCACCGAGAGGCUAUUGCUGAAGUUUCCCAAAUAUUGUGGAAUCAACCCACUCAAAUUGUUAUUAAACAGAUCAAGAAUUCCAAGUGAACUUAGAUUGCAAAUCAAUGUAGGGAUUUCUCCAGUCAAUUUAUUGUUUGAGAUAGAGAAAACAUAUGUAGUGUUAGGUGGAACAGGGAGUGGUCCUCGGAGUAAGUUGGAAUGCAGGUCAAUAUAUCCCAGAUUCUUUCAUGGAAGACGCUCUAAACUUGUAAGGAAAUUAUGAGAAAGAUUUAAAUUAUGCAAUGAAUCUCUCCCCACAUUGAAUAACCAUUUUGAAACUUCACCAUGAAUUUUGUUGUUUGAAAGAUCUAGAAAACACAAUCUGGCUUGUUCUCUCAAGAAGUUUGGAAAUUCGCUCACGUUGCAAGAAGCUAAUCUUAUAGUUUCAAAGUUGGUCAAGGUAGAGUUGACACUGUUGUUGAUGCUCAAUGAGAAACCAUUAUGUGAGAGAUCAAGACAGAUCAGAUUUUUAAGCUUUAGAAGCUUAUCUAGAUCCACUACACCGCUUAAGUUAUCAGUGAACUUUGCCUUAUAGACUCUGUUUUUGAAUAGUGGAUUUGCUCUUUGGUUGCAUUUCGUACUUGGAAUUCAGUUUCAAAUUGAUAAUGAGCCAUUCAAGGCGGAAAUGAAGCAAUUUACAGCCAAGGUUGUGGACAUGAUGAGGCAAGAAAACUCUACGCAUCCUAAGGCGGACCUAUUAUCUUAUUCGACGCUAGUUUUUAUGUAGAUUUGCCAUAUAUAUGCAAGCAUUGUAUAAUUGUGGGUGCAGCAUCCUAUUUCACAUUUUUACUUUGACAAAUAGUAUGUCACUUUAACUUUGUUUGUGAGUCUCAAAUUAGGUGGAUGUCAUUGUCUUGUUUAAGGUUUGUGUGGCUUGGUUGGUGAAAGCAAUUAAUUCUUCAUUAACAAGUGGAGUCAUUGAUUUUGUGUUUUGAUCUUUGAAACUUGGAUGAUGGAUUGGUGAUUUUCUAAAAAAUGUGAUCACAAGGUUGAAGGUUCA